GACGAACGCUGGCGGCGUGCUUAACACAUGCAAGUCGAACGGUAAGGCCCUUCGGGUACGACGAGUGGCGAACGGGUGAGUAACACGUGGUGAUCUGCCCUGCACUUUGGGAUAAGCCUGGGAAACUGGGUCUAAUACCGAAUAUGACCAUGGACUUCACGGUUUGUGGUGGAAAGCUUUUGCGGUGUGGGAUGGGCCCGCGGCCUAUCAGCUUGUUGGUGGGGUAAUGGCCUACCAAGGCGACGACGGGUAGCCGGCCUGAGAGGGUGACCGGCCACACUGGGACUGAGAUACGGCCCAGACUCCUACGGGAGGCAGCAGUGGGGAAGUAUUGCACAAUGGGCGCAAGCCUGAUGCAGCGACGCCGCGUGGGGGAUGACGGGCCUUCGGUGUAACUCUUCUACCAGGACGGAAGCGAGAGUGACGGUACCGUGG
RNAcentral lists this ribosomal RNA (435 nucleotides) under uncultured bacterium. Its description in RNAcentral is "bacterial SSU rRNA". It matches the Rfam family "Bacterial small subunit ribosomal RNA", at positions 28 to 483 of the family's 1533-position model. The record is from RNAcentral.